RNAcentral lists this small nucleolar RNA (127 nucleotides) under Carlito syrichta (Philippine tarsier). RNAcentral's name for it is "Small nucleolar RNA SNORA51 (ENSTSYG00000020991.2)". It matches the Rfam family "Small nucleolar RNA SNORA51". From Rfam's summary of the family: ACA51 is a member of the H/ACA class of snoRNA that guide the sites of modification of uridines to pseudouridines. Lineage: Eukaryota; Metazoa; Chordata; Mammalia; Primates; Tarsiidae. The record is from Rfam by way of RNAcentral.
GACCUCCCCGGUGCUUACCAUAGGCUAUGUUCUUACGCUGACUGUGUAGAAGGAGGAGUCACAGCAAACCUACUCUAUAUAUACAUCAGCCCAAGCCCUGUGCCUAGUCUGUGAAUCGGGGGGGUGG